Triticum aestivum (bread wheat) is the source of this 4448-nucleotide long non-coding RNA. RefSeq lists it as uncharacterized. The record is from RefSeq and is a predicted model, not a curated record. NCBI's taxonomy places the organism in Eukaryota, Viridiplantae, Streptophyta, Magnoliopsida, Poales, Poaceae. The transcript has 4 exons.
UACUGGUGGCUUCUUUUUCUUCUGACUCGUCUGUUACCUUUUCCUGCGUCGCUUUGACCCGUCGCCCACCUGUCUCGUCAUCCCUCUCGCCGUCCUCUCUGAGGCAUAGCCCUCUUCGUCCGCCCCAGGCCCAGGCGAUGGGGGCGCCGCCCUGGUUGCGAGGAAGCCGCUGGAGGAAGAUCUCAACUAGACAUUAUCGACCGGAAGGAAGGAGAAGGAUUCGAUCUGCAGAAGAGAGAUAGAAGAUGAGAGGGGGAGAGGGAAGGAAGGAGAAGGAUUCUAUCUACAAGAGAGAGAGAGAAGAUGAGAGGGAAAGAAAGAUGGAAGGAGAGGAGGGAGAAAGAGAGAGGAAAGAUGGGAGGGAGGCGCGACAGCGGACGUGAGAGGGUCAACGGUCGGCGUUGGCCUGCCCCGGCGAGGUAGGGCGCGACCUGAAGGUUGGUGGUGGCUCGAUCCGCUCCUGAAUCAGGACCUACGAGGAGGGUGGGGCUCGGGCGCGAGGCACGGCAGGCUGCGCUCCACCUCUUCCUUGAGGAGCAUGUGCAGUGGGCGGAUGGCAGCUCGCGCGGUGGUGCCGGGGCCUCAACAGGUGCACAAUGGGGACUCCAUGCAUCUCCUGCGCACCGCAACCCUCCCCUUCCCGGCACAGCAGAAACAAGGAUGCCGAAGCGGUUCAGUGCAUUUCUUUUCUUUCCAUCUGCAGUUGCGACGAAGAGUAGGAAGAUCGGGCGGAUAGGGUUUCACAUACCUCUUCUACACUUACAAGUCUUCCUUUCCAGGAUUGCCAUGGUGAGCUGUUGUUGUAGACUGUAGUGCUUUAUAAAUUUUUUUGUCCCUUUGCUAAACUUUGUUCUCUUAUUCCGAUGCUAUGAUUUGUGAUGGCUAGAUGAGAUUUGUGGUGAAAAGUUUCCUUUCUUUUGUUUACCUACAGAUCUUGAAUGCACGAUUGAUGAUUUUGUUUGAUAGGUUAGAAAUCUAAAUAGUAAACAUUUUAGCUUACUUACAAUGUUGUUUGAUCAAUUGCUUUGCGGCAGGCUCACUGAUGGAGUAUGCCUAAUCUUGGACUCAAUUUAUUGCCUGGUGUUGGUGUGUUUCUUUUAUUCUAUUUAGGAGGGUUCUAAGCUAUUAAGGGAAACAUACAAUUUAUCAGUUUGAGGCCUGCUUCAGUCUGUGUGCUGCUGCAGGGGGCUUUGGGGAUGGUGGCCUUGAUAUUCCGCACAGUGACAAGAGAUUUGUUGGCUUCAAGAAGGAUGAGAAGCAGCUGGACACUGAGAUUCACCGCAACUACAUUUAUGAAGAUCAUGUUGCAGACUACAUGAAGGUUACUGAAUCUUAUUUUAACUUCUGCCCUACCGUUAUUUCAGUCAAUAGCUGAUGCGGUACCUGAGAAGUAACAAUUUCACUUUAGUGAGUACAUCAAGAAGGGGAUUGCGGCUGAUGACAUGGAAGAACUGCACAAGAAGGUAAAUGCUACCAUUCGUGCUGAUCCUACCAUGGCAAAAUCAACCAAGGAACCUCUGAAGACGCACAAGAGGUAUAAUCUCAAGAAGCGUUGAGGUAGGUGACACAGCUUGCCAUGCAUGUGAUGUUGCAGCUCAAAAUUAAGAUGUUGUCAAUCCAAUAAGAGAAGCCAAGGAGCUAUUGGCGAUCGUGUGGUGCGUACUGGAUCAUGAAGUUUAUCAGUAUGUGGUAAUGGGGGUAUCAAUGUUUUCUCAUACUCAUGUAGUUCAUUCACUCCUAAACUGUAUGUUCUUCUUUUGUUAAAACCUUGGAAGUAUUAAGAUGUUAGGCUAAAUAAAUUCCUUCAUAAUGAAUAAUAGAAAAGUUUUGCUAUGCAAUAAGAUACAGUUGCAUGCAAAAAAUAAUCUUGUCUUAUAUAGUUAUAUAUCAAAACUAUGGAUUUGGUAUGCACUUCUUGUGAUCAUUAGUGUUCACUGAUUUCCUUCGGAUUUUCUUGGAUACCUGCGACAUCGUGGUGUCGGACGCGACGGACGCUGCCAGGUCCGCGCCCACAUCGUGCUCAGGGAGCCUGACCUCUUUAGUCGUGUUCUCCAUCUUGCAGCACAUGAUGAACUACACUGUAGAGUUCAGCUGUGUUUCCCCUGUUUUCUUCUACUACAAGAGUUCUAAUGAUAUGUACUAUUUGGCUGCAAAUUUAUGUUGUUUGCAUCACCAUAUGGAUAGUCGUAACAAAUGAAGAGAUUUCAGAGAGUUUCACAAUCUGACUCGAGUCACAGGCUAUAGGUUAACUUUAAUUGAAUGGUAGUAUGGGAGUAAUAAUUUCUGAAAUCUAGAAAUGAUCUUGUUGCUCAUAUAGAUCUUUCUGGUAAUCUGAUCUACCUUUGCUGUAUUAGUGGUGUUGGGUUAAAAAUCAACAGUGGUGUUUAAAAAAGCUAAAGGUGACUGUUGUAGUUACUGGGAUCCUCCAAGUGGAUCAUUAUAAUGAUGAGAAAACAUACCCAAAAAAACAUAAAAUGGAUUAAAAGGAAACCCACUUUCUAGGAUUGUGGGCUGAAGACAGAAUGGAUGCAGGCUUUGUCUCGAAGAGAUUAUCUGACAAGAAUGAAUUAGUCAUCAACAGUUGAGGCGCAGCGUACCAUCUUACUUGCUCCACCUCCGGACUAUGUUAUUCUCUUCUUUUUCUCCUUCGUUGUUGUGUCGCUUGACUGCAUCUUUAUUAGUUCAAACUCAUGCUUGUUUUAGCUAGGAUGAAUUUAGGAAUGGUUGCCUUUUCAUGGUACAGUUGAGCUGAUGUUGAGUAUGUGUUUGUGUGUAACGGUUCAUUUCCUCCUUUUCUUUCUGCAACAUUUCGUGAACUUGCUUAUAAAAAGAUUCAUCACAUAGGCGUUUAGCUUGAUUGUUCCGCGUACCAUGAGAACCAGCAUGACUUUGGAUAUAUGUUUCUGCAGGUUUCAGAAUGUAUCCAAGAUUGCAGGGAAGUUAAUUACACCAUAUGUGGAAGAUGGGCUGUGGAAGAUGGACAUAGCCCCUCAGGUAAUUUCACUUUGUCCUGGAUUAAUAACAGAUUACUAAUUUGUUUGUUUAAAUAGGGCAGGUUAUUUACGGAAGUAUUUUCUAUGCCGAACUGGUUAGCAUUAAUUCUAGACCAUUUACUAUUGACUCGAUAAUUUACAUGUUGGCAAGGACUUAUUCCUGCAACCUGGUCAUAAUUGCUCGGCCAAUUUCCCAACCCAAAUCCAGAACCGCUUCAUCUUUAGAUCUUUACGUGCUUGAUGAAAUGCCUUAGUGAUUAAGCUCUGCGCUUUGUCUUUCUUUGUUCUCCUGCUCACGGAUUAACCGAUGACUGCAAGGCCGAGAGAAGCAUUAGGAACUGGUCCGCAGCGUCUUACAGUGUAUGCGUACACACAAUUCACUGCACUAACACUUAUUGAAUUGUUCAUCUUCUUUCUCCUCUGUUUGUCACGAAGAUUCUUCUAUGACCACCUCUUUGAGGAGAUCAACUAAUCUCCGUGUCGCAGUUUUUGUUGAAACAUUGAUUAGGUGCUCCAAGAAUGUAUGUGAGCUUGACAUUGUAUUUAACUGCAUCAAGGUACAAUGAUUCUCUUGGUUUGUAUUUUAUUCUGGAUUGUCACUGUCAUAAUAAAUAAAGUCCAGAAUAGCAUUGGUGUUGUUUUAUCUUAGCAUGUACUCCCUCCGCUCCUAAAUAUAACUCAUUUUAGAGAUUUCAAUAAGGACUACAUACGAAUGUAUAUAGACAAGCAAACACUUUUUCGUAGAUUAGUUGCUUAGUUUCAUAUGUUGAACUGCGUUGUUGAGUGCAGUGCGUAGGCUCUUUAUAAAUUGCUAAGUAGGCGAUCAACGCGGCACAUGUGGGGGCUGUGAGAGCUGUGAAUGGCAUCGGUCUUGUCAUACUUAUGAGCAGGAGCACGGGCCACAUUACUCCCCUCUGAGCAGCCGAGAUGUUGACUGCUGCUUGAAUCCUGAGAUUGAUUUCCACGUUGUAAUGGAAGGAAGGCCUGUUUGAGUUCCUGUAUGAAAGGAUAAAGAAGAAGGGGCAUGCUGUCAUGGUAGUUGCUGAAGGCGUUGGUCAGGAGUUGAUUACCCGGACCGAUGACCAGAACCGAGAGCGAGCAGGAUGAGUAUGUCAACAUGUUGUUCCUUGACGUUGACCUUCUAUAAAGUUUACAUGCAACUCUCCUUCAUGGUUAAAAAACCAAUUUAAACGUUUUAUUUCUUUGAUGGUUACUCAUUUCUCUUACCGUUGUUGUAUCAAAACAAUUGUAUUUUUGUUGAUGGCCGCUUGGGCUCAUUUUCUAGGAGAAUGAGAUGUGGGAUAAACUACUCUGAAAUGCUUGAUACCCUUCAAACAAUUUAUAAGCUAACUAAUUUUGGCUGAUGCUGCACAUGAUACAAUUGUACUCUGUUGUUGCCAUCUUGCCUUUUAUGUGAGCUUAAACUCACAAUCAAUUAAAAUUUUACUAAGUUCA